Spinacia oleracea (spinach) is the source of this 1996-nucleotide long non-coding RNA. RefSeq lists it as uncharacterized. Lineage: Eukaryota; Viridiplantae; Streptophyta; Magnoliopsida; Caryophyllales; Amaranthaceae. The record is from RefSeq and is a predicted model, not a curated record. The transcript is spliced from 2 exons.
AUGAAUUAUGUGAAUAGUGUAAAAAGUCAAAACGGUGUGAGUAUUAAGGGACAAAGGAGUAACAACUAACAACUCUUAACCUAAGAGGACCAAAGUAUUUUGGGAAUUAUUGAAAGUUUAAGCAAUGUUGAAGCCUUGAAGGAAAUCUUAUUUGGUUUACCGUUGUGAAUUGUGAAUACAGUCACGAAGAAAAUGUUUACGAAACUCAUCGGAAGCUUUCCAAUCACUUAUACGGAGUAUCAACUCGUAAUUUCUCGUGAUCAAAUCCAAGCAGUAUUUCCAAAAGUCUUUUCUUUUUCUCUCCUUUUUUUCCUUUUCAUUUCUUCUAAUCUUCUUCUGGGCUUCGUUUCUCACGGCUAUUUGCUCUUUGUGGCUUCCUUCUUUACCUUUCGUUCUCAUCAUAAUCACAGUCACAAUCGUCUCUAAUUAACGAUGGCACUUUCGUUUUCUGACUUAAUAUGGCGCCCCAAUUUCGUGGGUUUCGGUUUGCUCUUGAAUUUUCUACUUGAAUAAAUCAGAAUUAAUCCGAAUUUCGAGCUCCAAUGUGAUUUUUGAUUAUCGGAACUUAGGGUUUAUCUAAUUCGGGGCCUUUUCCGAUUUGAGUAAUUUGAAGAAAGGGGAGGUGUAUUGUACAAUUAGAAGUGGUCUCAACAGAUUCAAGGCUCAUCAGAAGCAGUUUCUUGGAACAAAUUCCGAAUUAGGAAGUUGCAUUCAUCUUGGCGAAUCCCAGAAAAAAGGGGGAUCUUUGUAGAUGAAAACACUUCUUGGGUCAUGAGCCUUUUGAGAGUCCGGAAAUGAUCAUUGUAGGGUGAAAAGGCAAUUGAUGUGUUGUUGUAAUGCAGGAGCCUCCCAACAAGGGUAUCUGGUCGAUCAGCAAAGAUAGUGUCGUUUUUUACCAGACAUUCUUCCACUGCUGAGGGGGAGGAGAUAAGGAGGACUUUACGCACCCCAAGCUUGAGGAGUAAGAUUUCUCCGUAAGUUGUUGAUAUUUCAUGGAGUGUUUGGUGUAGGGGUCGUUUUAUCAUAUGAAGGUGCCCAAUUAUGGGAAGAGAUGGGGGACUUGGAGGUAGUUUUUUCUUGUUUUUCUUACAAGUUAUCGAAAAUAAUAUAUAAACUAACAAAACAAUUGACAGUGUGAUUGCCCAAGUGAACCAAUUUAACUCUUCCAUCAUGGACAUACUAAACUCCAUGCUAAGCUAAAAUGGUUUGAUUUUCAGCAACUACAUACUAAAUUGAAUUUAUAUGGAAUUAUUUGCAUAAUUGAUUUAUACAUUUAGAGCCCAACUAAAUUGACUAAUACGUAGUAUAGUGCAACAUAUUCAUGUUUGGUAUGCAGUGUUGCUUGGAACGGCGUUCUAUAAAGUAUUACCAAGUCGCCUGCUAUACGAUGACAAAAUUAUUCUGUUUGUCAAGGUUUGGAAAAAUGAAAGUAAUAUGUUGAAGAUUCAAGCGUGCUUUGUUUGAACGGCACUUGAAUAUUGUUUCGUUGAUUUGUAAGUUACACAAGUCAACAUUGUUAUUCUAAUCAACUACUUUCACUGUUUUUUAAGUUAUGCGGUAUUGACAUGACAGGUUUGUCGCUCAUAUUUUGAAAAUAUAUGUUAAUACGAAUUUAACAAGAUCUUAGUGGUCAUAUUUUGAGUAUAUGAAAGUAUGUUUUUUUGUGUGUAUCAAACGGUUCACCAUUAGGGCUAAUCUGGGUUAGAGUCGAAUUCUGAGUGGACAGGUUCCAAUCUCCUCCUAAUUGUUGUUGUGGGGAUCGAACACGGGUCAUUCCUACCAAGUUUAGCCUCAAUCAUCACUGAACUAACAUGCAAUUGAUGGUCGGAGAUAAGUAUGUGAAUGUUGAAUAAGGAGUAAUGCACAAGGUUAAUACUUCCGGUGUUUGAUCUGUUGUCUGAUGACUGUUAUGACUUAUAUUUGUAAGGAAACAAAAAAAAAAAAUUACAAUUGUGUUUUCAUUGAACAUCUUUUUUCAUGGAAAUUAUUUUACAUA